This 299-nucleotide ribosomal RNA is filed under the name uncultured prokaryote. RNAcentral's name for it is "partial 16S ribosomal RNA". It matches the Rfam family "Bacterial small subunit ribosomal RNA", at positions 524 to 776 of the family's 1533-position model. The record is from RNAcentral.
UACGUAGGGGGCGAGCGUUGUCCGAAGUUACUGGGCGUAAAGCGCACGUAGGCGGCCAGACAAGUUGCAUGUAAAAGGCGACAGCUCAACUGUCGAGUGAGGUGCAAGACUGUAUGGCUUGAGGCAAGCAAAAGAGUGUGGAACUCCGAGUGUAGCGGUGGAAUGCGUAGAGAUUCGGAAGAACACCCAUGGCGAAGGCAGCACUCUGGGCUUGACAAAAGGAGCUUUAAGCUAAGCGUAAGCUGAGCAAGAAGCUUUAUACCUGACGCUGAGGAGCGAAAGCCAGGGGAGCAAACGGG